CGUAAGUGACCGGUACCUGCAGAAGAAGCGCCGGGCUAACUACGUGCCAGCAGCCCGCGGUAAUACGUAGGGCGCAAGCGUUAUCCGGGAAUUAUUGGGCGUAAAGAGCUCGUAGGCGGUUUGUCGCGUCUGCCGUGAAAGUCCGGGGCUCAACUCCGGAUCUGCGGUGGGUACGGGCAGACUAGAGUGAUGUAGGGGAGACUGGAAUUCCUGGUGUAGCGGUGAAAUGCGCAGAUAUCAGGAGGAACACCGAUGGCGAAGGCAGGUCUCUGGGCAUUAACUGACGCUGAGGAGCGAAAGCAUGGGGAGCGAACAGGAUUAGAUACCCUGGUAGUCCAUGCCGUAAACGUUGGGCACUAGGUGUGGGGGACAUUCCACGUUUUCCGCGCCGUAGCUAACGCAUUAAGUGCCCCGCCUGGGGAGUACGGCCGCAAGGCUAAAACUCAAAGGAAUUGACGGGGGCCCGCACAAGCGGCGGAGCAUGCGGAUUAAUUCGAUGCAACGCGAAGAACCUUACCAAGGCUUGACAUGAACCGGACCGGGCUGGAAACAGUUUUUCCCCUUGUGGGCUGGUUUACAGGUGGUGCAUGGUUGUCGUCAGCUCGUGUCGUGAGAUGUUGGGUUAAGUCCCGCAACGAGCGCAACCCUCGUUCUAUGUUGCCAGCACGUGAUGGUGGGGACUCAUAGGAGACUGCCGGGGUCAACUCGGAGGAAGGUGGGGACGACGUCAAAUCAUCAUGCCCCUUAUGUCUUGGGCUUCACGCAUGCUACAAUGGCCGGUACAAAGGGUUGCGAUACUGUGAGGUGGAGCUAAUCCCAAAAAGCCGGUCUCAGUUCGGAUUGGGGUCUGCAACUCGACCCCAUGAAGUCGGAGUCGCUAGUAAUCGCAGAUCAGCAACUCUGCGGUGAAUACGUUCCCGGGCCUUGUACACACCUCCCGUCAAGUCCCG
Molecule: ribosomal RNA, 950 nt
Filed under: Pseudarthrobacter defluvii
Lineage: Bacteria; Bacillati; Actinomycetota; Actinomycetes; Micrococcales; Micrococcaceae
Description: bacterial SSU rRNA
Rfam family: Bacterial small subunit ribosomal RNA
Source: RNAcentral